This 618-nucleotide ribosomal RNA is filed under the name uncultured bacterium. RNAcentral describes it as "bacterial SSU rRNA". It matches the Rfam family "Bacterial small subunit ribosomal RNA", at positions 338 to 944 of the family's 1533-position model. The record is from RNAcentral.
CCUACGGGAGGCAGCAGUAGGGAAUCUUCCGCAAUGGACGAAAGUCUGACGGAGCAACGCCGCGUGAACGAUGAAGGCCUUCGGGUCGUAAAGUUCUGUUGUUAGGGAAGAACAAGUGCUAGUUAAAUAAGCUGGCACCUUGACGGUACCUAACCAGAAAGCCACGGCUAACUACGUGCCAGCAGCCGCGGUAAUACGUAGGUGGCAAGCGUUGUCCGGAAUUAUUGGGCGUAAAGCGCGCGCAGGCGGUUUCUUAAGUCUGAUGUGAAAGCCCCCGGCUCAACCGGGGAGGGUCAUUGGAAACUGGGAAACUUGAGUGCAGAAGAGGAAAGUGGAAUUCCAAGUGUAGCGGUGAAAUGCGUAGAGAUUUGGAGGAACACCAGUGGCGAAGGCGACUUUCUGGUCUGUAACUGACGCUGAGGCGCGAAAGCGUGGGGAGCAAACAGGAUUAGAUACCCUGGUAGUCCACGCUGUAAACGAUGAGUGCUAAGUGUUAGAGGGUUUCCGCCCUUUAGUGCUGAAGUUAACGCAUUAAGCACUCCGCCUGGGGAGUACGGUCGCAAGACUGAAACUUAAGAAAGUAUUGNGNGNGAGAGNGCGACGCGACGAGAGGAGGAG